This 150-nucleotide ribosomal RNA is filed under the name uncultured bacterium. RNAcentral's name for it is "partial 16S ribosomal RNA". It matches the Rfam family "Bacterial small subunit ribosomal RNA", at positions 1353 to 1500 of the family's 1533-position model. The record is from RNAcentral.
CAUACCGCGGUGAAUACGUUCCCGGGCCUUGUACACACCGCCCGUCACACCACGAAAGUUGGUAACACCCGAAGCCGGUGGCCUAACCCUUAGGGGAGGGAGCUGUCGAAGGUGGGACUGAUGAUUGGGGUGAAGUCGUAACAAGGUACC